Molecule: ribosomal RNA, 260 nt
Filed under: uncultured archaeon
Lineage: Archaea
Description: partial 16S ribosomal RNA
Rfam family: Archaeal small subunit ribosomal RNA
Source: RNAcentral
UGGCCGUAAACGAUGUGGACUUGGUGUUGGAAUGGCUCCGAGCUGCUCCAGUGCCGAAGGGAAGCUGUUAAGUCCACCGCCUGGGAAGUACGGUCGCAAGACUGAAACUUAAAGGAUUGGCGGGGAGCACCACAACGCGUGGAGCCUGCGGUUUAAUUGGAUUCAACGCCGGACAUCUCACCAGGGGCGGACAGCAGAAUGAUGGCCAGGUUGAUGACCUUGCUUGACAAGCUGAGAGGAGGUGCAUGGCGUGUGACUGU